CUAGCCCUGAAAUGGAUGGCGCUCUAGCGAAAGACCUAUACUUUACUGUUAUACUAUGUUGAGAACAAAGUAUAACAUGUAGGAGGGUGUAGUAGUUAGCGUUGAAGGUUUUCAUUGUAAAAUGGACUGGAGCUUCUACUAGUGCAGAUCUUGGUGAUAGUAGCAAACAUUCAAGUGAGAUCCUUGAAGGCCGAAGUGAAAAAGGUUUCCACGUGAACAGUAUUUGAAUGUGGGUCAGUCGGUCCUAAGGAAAUAGCGCAUGCUAUUUUGAUUAUGUGUGUUUUAUUCUUUACGGUUUGAUUCACAUGUUUUCCGAAAGGGAAGUAGGUUAAUAUUCCUACACUAUGAGAAUACGAUUUUUGGUUUUCUUUACGGUUAAUCAAAAUGGGACGGUAACGUUAUAUGAACUCGUAUACGUCAUAUAUAGUUCAGAAUAGAGAUCUCUUCUCUAUUUAAGAUAUUUUGUCCAUGGAAUGAGAUCAUCUCGAGAUAUGGAUAAAGGUAUUGAAAAGCAUAACGGUUUUUGUUAUGUUCUGAUUGCUAUAUAUGGCCCUUGAAAAUACGAGGGAUCCCUAAUAAUGUAUUCCAUAGCCGUACCUUAUUCCGCAUCAGGUUUUCAAGGUGAAUAGCCUCUGGUCGAUAGAAUAAUGUAGGUAAGGGAAGUCGGCAAAUUAGAUCCGUAACUUCGGGAAAAGGAUUGGCUCUAAGAAUCGAGUAUAUUGGGUUUUUGAAUGAAACUUUAUUUGAUAGAACAUGUUUGAGGGAUGCUUCGGCUGAACUUGGACUAGUUUUUAUUGGAUAUUGUGGAAUUCUUAAACUUUUUAUAAUCUUUACGGAUUAUAAAGUCAAUAUACACUUAACGAUUAGCUUAGAACUGACACGGACUCGGGGAAUCCGACUGUCUAAUUAAAACAGAGCAAAUAGAAGGCGUUUAUGUGCGUUGACUAUUUGUGAUUUCUGCCCAGUGCUCUGAAUGUUAAUCUAAAGAAAUUUAUAUAAGCGCGGGUAAACGGCGGGAGUAACUAUGACUCUCUUAAGGUAGCCAAAUGCCUCGUCAGAUAAGUCCUGACGCGCACGAAUGGAUUAACGAGAUUCCCACUGUCCCUAUCUACUAUCUAGCGAAAUCACAGCCAAGGGAACGGGCUUGGCAAAUACAGCGGGGAAAGAAGACCCUAUUGAGCUUGACUCUAGUCUGACUUUGUGAAGAGUCAUAAGAGGUGUAGUAUAAGGGGGAGACUUCGGUCAUCGGUGAAAUACCCCUACUUUUAUCGACUCUUUACUUAUUCAGUAAUACGGAGAUUGUCUUCGGACUUUCUUUUUGAUUUAAAUAUUGAUUCUUGGAAUUGAUAUGAUCCGCACUGAUGACAUUGUCAGGCGGGGAGUUUGACUGGGGCGGUACAUCUGUCAAAUAGUAACGCAGGUGUCCUAAGGAAUACUCAGUGAGGACAGAAACCUCACGUAGACUAAAAGGAGAAAAGUAUUCUUGAUCUUGAUUCUCAGUACGAAUACAGACCGUUAAAGCGUGGCCUAUCGAUCCUUUUGGAUUAUGAAGUUUAUAACAAGAGGUGUCAGAAAAGUUACCAUAGGGAUAACUGGCUUGUGGCAGCCAAGCGUCCAUAGCG
Molecule: ribosomal RNA, 1622 nt
Filed under: Nematoda sp. SAN-2005
Lineage: Eukaryota; Metazoa; Nematoda
Description: eukaryotic LSU rRNA
Rfam family: Eukaryotic large subunit ribosomal RNA
Source: RNAcentral